Molecule: ribosomal RNA, 688 nt
Filed under: Bacillus sp. UST050418-894
Lineage: Bacteria; Bacillati; Bacillota; Bacilli; Caryophanales; Bacillaceae
Description: bacterial SSU rRNA
Rfam family: Bacterial small subunit ribosomal RNA
Source: RNAcentral
AGAAGGGAGCUUGCUUCCCGGAUGUUAGCGGCGGACUGGGUGAGUAACACGGUGGGUCAACCGUGCCUGUAAGACUGGGAUAACUCCGGGAAACCGGAGCUAAUACCGGAUAGUUCCUUGAACCGCAUGGUUCAAGGAUGAAAGACGGUUUCGGCUGUCACUUACAGAUGGACCCGCGGCGCAUUAGCUAGUUGGUGGGGUAAUGGCUCACCAAGGCGACGAUGCGUAGCCGACCUGAGAGGGUGAUCGGCCACACUGGGACUGAGACACGGCCCAGACUCCUACGGGAGGCAGCAGUAGGGAAUCUUCCGCAAUGGACGAAAGUCUGACGGAGCAACGCCGCGUGAGUGAUGAAGGUUUUCGGAUCGUAAAGCUCUGUUGUUAGGGAAGAACAAGUGCGAGAGUAACUGCUCGCACCUUGACGGUACCUAACCAGAAAGCCACGGCUAACUACGUGCCAGCAGCCGCGGUAAUACGUAGGUGGCAAGCGUUGUCCGGAAUUAUUGGGCGUAAAGGGCUCGCAAGGCGGUUUCUUAAGUCUGAUGUGCACAAGCCCCCGGCUCAAACCGGGGGCACGGGUCAUUGGGAAAACUGGGAAAACUUUGAGUGCCAGAAAGAAGCGACGAGUGGAAAUUCCACGUUGUAGCCGGUGAAAAUUGCCUUCACAGGAUGUUGGCACGCAACACCA